AUGACCGGCUUGCUCGGGAAGUUGGUUGAGGGGUGGACGUCCCUCAGUGCCUCUGACAGCGACGCGGUUGCGAGGCAGUUCACUUCAUUUGUCCCAGAACGUACACAUCGACCAACCGGUUGCCGUGGCCGGUAUGACUACAACAGUUCCCAAGAGCCCGGUGACACACAAGAUGAUGUAGAUGGAGACGCUAGCCUCAGCAAGGAUGACGACGAUGACAUAGAUAAUGUGCAUCAGGACACGGAUGACGAUGAACAUGCUGAAGUUCGCACAGGCGGCAACAAGGGCAAGGAUGCAACAGAUGCCCCCCCCCCCACCGGAGAAAGUGAUAGAACAUACGGAUGCGAGAGGCGAGGGGGUGUUGCCAUCAAGGAGGGGGAGGGCUCCAGAUGA
RNAcentral lists this ribosomal RNA (393 nucleotides) under Triticum aestivum (bread wheat). RNAcentral describes it as "partial small subunit ribosomal RNA". The record is from RNAcentral. Lineage: Eukaryota; Viridiplantae; Streptophyta; Magnoliopsida; Poales; Poaceae.